UGUUAUCAAAGGUCCAGACCUUAAUUCAAAAUA
Molecule: non-coding RNA, 33 nt
Filed under: unclassified sequences
Source: RNAcentral